This 148-nucleotide non-coding RNA is filed under the name Chlorocebus sabaeus (green monkey). Lineage: Eukaryota; Metazoa; Chordata; Mammalia; Primates; Cercopithecidae. The record is from Rfam by way of RNAcentral.
GCUGGGCGCAGUGGUGUGUGCCUGUAGUCCUAGCUACUCAGGAGGCUGAGGGAGGAGGGUCGCUUGAGCCCAGGUGUUUGAGGCUGCAGUGAGUCAUGAUUGUGCCACUGCACUCCAGCCUGGGUGACAGAGUGAGACCUUAUCUCUA